UACGUAGGCGGAAAAUUAAGUCAGUAGUGAAAUACUGCAGCUUAACUGUAGAACUGUUAUUGAUACUGGUUUUCUUGAAUAUAGUUGAGGUAGGCGGAAUGUGUAAUGUAGCGGUGAAAUGCUUAGAUAUUACACAGAACACCGAUUGCGAAGGCAGCUUACUAAGCUAUGAUUGACGCUGAGGUACGAAAGCGUGGGGAGCGAACAGGAUUAGAUACCCUGGUAGUCC
Molecule: ribosomal RNA, 229 nt
Filed under: uncultured bacterium
Lineage: Bacteria
Description: partial 16S ribosomal RNA
Rfam family: Bacterial small subunit ribosomal RNA
Source: RNAcentral